GUGCCAGCAGCCGCGGUAAGACGUAGGAUGCGAGCGUUGUCCGGAUUUAUUGGGCGUAAAGAGUUCGUAGGUGGUUCGUUAAGUCUGGUGUAAAAGACUGGGGCUCAACCCUGGGAUCGCACUGGAUACUGGCGGACUGGAGUGUGGUAGAGGCAAGCGGAAUUCCCAGUGUAGCGGUGAAAUGCGUAGAUAUUGGGAAGAACACCGGUGGCGCAAGCGGCUUGCUGGGCCAUAACUGACACUGAGGAACGAAAGCUAGGGGAGCGAAUGGGAUUAGAUACCCCAGUAGUCC
Molecule: ribosomal RNA, 292 nt
Filed under: uncultured bacterium
Lineage: Bacteria
Description: partial 16S ribosomal RNA
Rfam family: Bacterial small subunit ribosomal RNA
Source: RNAcentral